Molecule: long non-coding RNA, 608 nt
Filed under: Panax ginseng (ginseng)
Lineage: Eukaryota; Viridiplantae; Streptophyta; Magnoliopsida; Apiales; Araliaceae
Description: long non-coding RNA (PGIN_LNC012100)
Source: RNAcentral
CGAACAUGAACUGCACCGAUAAGCCCCCAAGAAAAUGGGUGGUUAAUUACAAGUAAACAAAUAAUUGAAGUCAUUAUACUAUACACGAAGUAAGCAAAUAACAAUCUUCUAUAAAUUGAAGUGGCAAAUAACAAUCUUCUAUAAAUUGAACUGGAAUUAGAUGACAUGGGAAUCACUUCAACAUUAAAAUCAGGAAUUAUAACAGGAAGAAGAACUUCUGUUCAUUGAAAGAAUUUAUCAUCCUAUUUCUGCAAUAAUUAUAUGCACUGUUCGGGAGCGUUUUAACCGACCUCCAAUUGGGCCGAAGGCCUGAUACUAAAAAGGGUUCAUAAGUUCGAUGGACCAAAGACCUCGGAGAUACUGGAGGUGUUCGGGUUUGGUAUCCGAGUCCUUUGGGUCGGAACCUUACGGUAGUGUAUGGUGUUCGGGGUAGGGCCUUCGAGUCCUUUGGACCGAAGCUCAGACCAGUUGGUGAGUUCGGUUGGGUUGGGCCUGUGCAGUGAGUUGUCCUGCGUACAGAGUCUGGAGUCCUAACCGUGUUUGAAUAAGGUAACUCCAAAGGUAGUGUUUGGAUUGGAUUCUACUUCCACCUUUUAAGGAGAUUGUGU